GAUGGCCCGUCUCACAAUUAAAGGACUGCAAUGAGGAAGCACUCUGCAUCAAAGAUCCUAUAGCAAGCAAGAUAGAUCACUCGACGAAAAAGACGUAGUGCGGUCAUGGGCAGAUUCAUGGGUAAUUUUCGGCCCCAUUUCCGUAACCGGCUUCCGUCCUGGCACCAAAGAUCCCGUAGCGGAGCAAAGAUAACUAGUGCAGAGAUGGAAGCCGGUUACGGAAACAUCCUCGUAAAAUUAAAACUUCUUUGGUAAAAAUCUUCUCCCCAUUUUCAGAAUUAUAAUUUAUUAACACAAACUGUUCCCCCGCAACGUUGAUUAUACUGCACGUCCAGUCGGGUCGGGUUACUGAAAUGGAUGAAAAAAAGGCCCACGUUCCGCUCCGUUGCGCUGUCCAAGGGGACGUUAAACCAGAGCUCAGACUGCUCCCUCUGGUUGACAUCUUUGCCAGGGGAAAGUUGCAGCCGGAAACAUUUGACAACACGACAGCGCAGCGGUAGAGUUGCUGCCUUACAGUUCUUGCAGCGCCAGGGACGCGGGUUCGAUCCCGACUACAGGUGCUGUAUGUAUGGAAUUUGUACAUUCUCCCCGUGACCUGCGUAGGUUUUCUCUGAGAUCUUCGGUUUCCUCCCACACUCCACAGACGACAGGCUUGGAGGGAGGCUUGAGGAGGAGGGGUUACAACAAGGAGCCUGGCCAAGGUCAUCAUUAGAAGAGCCUUUCAACAAGUGACCUGUUUUGUCACCGUUGGGAGACACAUCUAACACAGUAGAGGAGUGUUGGCGGAAAUUUCAUGACCGCACAAGGUUUGGGAAUAGCUCCAUCCCAGACCACAAGGAAUUGCAGAGAAUCGUGGACGCAGCCCAGACCAUCACAUAAUCCAAUCUCCCUUCUAUUGACUCCAUCUAUGCCUCGUGCUGCCUCGGCAAAGCCAGCAGCAUAAUCAAGGACGAGUUGCACCCUGGCCACUCCCUCUUCCCCCUUCUCCCAUCAGGCAAAAGGUACAGAAGUGUGAAAACACACACCUCCAGAUUCAGGUGCAGUUUCUUCCCAGCUGUUAUCAGGCAACUGAAUCAUCCUACCACAACCAGAGAGCAGUGCUGAACUACCAUCUACCUCAUUGGUGACCCUCGGACUAUCCAUGAUUGGACUUUACUUGUCACUCAAUGUCAUUCCUUUAUCAUGUAUCUGUACAGUGUAAAUGGCUCGAUUGCAAUCAUGCAUUGUCUUUCUGCUGACUGGUUAGCACGCAACAAAAGCUUUUCACUGUACCUCGGUAUAUGUGACAAUAAACUAAACUGAAGAUAUCCGUAAGUUGCAGCCUCAACACCAUUGAAUUGCACUGCUUUAUUCACCUACUCUGUGUCGAGCAGAGUUUUAAAACAUAGAGUCUGUCAGCACAGUGUCCAAGUGGCCAGUCUUCAUCUACAUAUGAUGCAUUAUUGUGCAGGUUUUUACUGUCGAACCAAACUGAGCCUUGCCCUAUGGGAGCGACUGGAUGGUGACAUUAAACAUACUCUGGCUGAUUCCUUUUCCAAUCUCAGACUGCAGUUACCAACUGGUCCUUCCUGAUAGGAGCAUCAAUUGAGAUCAACUAUCUCAGCCUGUAUUCCAACUGUUCUUCUUGUCCACAUCAUCAGGUCAUGCGAUAGGAGCAGAAUUAGGCCAUUCGGCCCAUCCAGUCUACUCCGACAUUCAAUCAUGGCUGAUCACGUGCAUCCGUGCUACAUCAGGUGAUGACUCCGGUUUGGGGCCCAUUUGAUGUUACGGACAGAGUAAAAAGUGGACUAGCUUGUCCAGGGAGUACCCAGGUUGCUGAGAAUUAUCCGCAACCCCAACUCAGUUAGAGGUGAAGAAACCAAGUGCAGAAGAGGAUCCCGGAAACUGAGGGAAGAGCAAGCGGGGCCGGUAGAGUGGCCAUCAGUUGGCCUCAGUGAGUGAGUGAGUGAGUGAGUGUGUGAGUGUGUGAGUGUGUGUGAGUGAGUGAGUGUGUGAGUGAGUGUGUGUGAGUGAGUGUGUGUGUGUGUGAGUGAG
Long non-coding RNA from Leucoraja erinaceus (little skate), 2034 nucleotides. RefSeq lists it as uncharacterized. The record is from RefSeq and is a predicted model, not a curated record. The transcript has 3 exons. Lineage: Eukaryota; Metazoa; Chordata; Chondrichthyes; Rajiformes; Rajidae.